AAAAACUCAUCACUUAGGGGGUUCUUCAAUUUUCUAGAACAAGAAUUCAAUUCUCUUGCUCCCUCUGAAAUUAUCUCUUCUUCCAUCGAUCAUUUUUCAUUUUCUUUAUCUUUAUCUUCAUCUUCCAAAACUCACAGAAAAACGCAAGGACUCACUUUUCAAUUCUCUCUUCAAUUCUAUCUUCCUUCAAUCUUCACUAGAAAAAUCACGAGAAAAGAAACUCCAGAAACCCUCCCUCAUCUUCAACGCAUAACUUUUCUGUCUCUUCAAUCAUCAUUAUCAAGUUGCAGAAGCUUGUUUUCAAUUUUCAUUUGGUUCUUCUCUGCAUACCAUCAUCAUCUGCUUCAUCAAUAUCGCAACAAUCUCUGCAGCACUCGCAUCACCAUCUUUGCUGAGAGAGUUAUUGGUAACAGAGCAACGUCCUUCUUCAUCAUCAACAAAUCUGCAAGAUUCAUUAUCACAAUCAUCUUCAUCAUGCUUCAAGGUUCUUCAAGCUUGCUUCAAUCUACUGCAAUCACAACAACAUUUCUCUAUAUCUUUAAUCAGCAUCUUCGCACAAUAAUCUGCAACAAACACCUCUCUGUAACAACAUCACAAUGA
Vicia faba (fava bean) is the source of this 600-nucleotide non-coding RNA. The record is from the annotation of a GenBank genome assembly. NCBI's taxonomy places the organism in Eukaryota, Viridiplantae, Streptophyta, Magnoliopsida, Fabales, Fabaceae.